This 200-nucleotide ribosomal RNA is filed under the name Triticum aestivum (bread wheat). RNAcentral describes it as "partial small subunit ribosomal RNA". The record is from RNAcentral. Lineage: Eukaryota; Viridiplantae; Streptophyta; Magnoliopsida; Poales; Poaceae.
UUGGAGAGGAGGAGUCCCUGGAGAUGGAGAGGAGUCCCUGGGCGUGGAGUGGAGGAGCGCAUGGGCACCUGCGUUGGUCUGGAUGGAGGUGGAGCUGUGGCGCCUGGAGCUCUGGGGUGGAGCGCCGGCGAGGGAGCUCCGGACCGCGGCGAGGGAGCUUCCGAUCGCGGCGGGGAAGGGCGACCAAAGAGGGGAUCUGG